Molecule: ribosomal RNA, 466 nt
Filed under: uncultured bacterium
Lineage: Bacteria
Description: partial 16S ribosomal RNA
Rfam family: Bacterial small subunit ribosomal RNA
Source: RNAcentral
GACGAACGCUGGCGGCGCGCCUAACACAUGCAAGUCGAACGAGCGAGAGAGAGCUUGCUUUCUUGAGCGAGUGGCGAACGGGUGAGUAACGCGUGAGGAACUUGCCUCAAAGAGGGGGACAACAGUUGGAAACGACUGCUAAUACCGCAUAAGCCCACGACCCGGCAUCGGGUUGAGGGAAAAGGAGCAAUCCGCUUUGAGAUGGCCUCGCGUCCGAUUAGCUAGUUGGUGAGGUAACGGCCCACCAAGGCGACGAUCGGUAGCCGGACUGAGAGGUUGAACGGCCACAUUGGGACUGAGACACGGCCCAGACUCCUACGGGAGGCAGCAGUGGGGAAUAUUGCACAAUGGGGGAAACCCUGAUGCAGCGACGCCGCGUGGAGGAAGAAGGUCUUCGGAUUGUAAACUCCUGUUGUUGAGGAAGAUAAUGACGGUACUCAACAAGGAAGUGACGGCUAACUACGUG